GCAUAUCAAUAAGCGGAGGAAAAGAACCACCGGGAUUGCCUCAGUACCGGCGAGUGAAGCGGCAAGAGCUCAAAUUUGAAAGCUUGGCUCCUUCGGAGUCCGCAUUGUAAUUUGCAGAGGAUGCUUUGGGUGCGGCCCCCGUCUAAGUGCCCUGGAACGGGCCGUCAGAGAGGGUGAGAAUCCCGUCUUGGGCGGGGUGUCCGUGCCCGUGUAAAGCUCCUUCGACGAGUCGAGUUGUUUGGGAAUGCACCUCUAAAUGGGUGGUAAAUUUCAUCUAAACCUAAAUACUGGCCGGAGACCGAUAGCGCACAAGUAGAGUGAUCGAAAGAUGAAAAGCCCUUUGAAAAGAGAGUUAACCAGCCCGUGAAAUUGUUGAAAGGGAAGCGCUUGCGCCCAGAUUGCCCGCGGGGUUCAGCCGGCAUUCGUGCCGGUGUACUUCCCCGUGGCCGGCCCAGCGUCGGUUUGGCCGCCCGGUCAAAGGCCCCUGGAAGUGAUGAGGUCUCCGGGGCACCUUAUAGCCAGGGGUGCAAUGCGGCCAGCCUGGACCGAGGAACGCGCUUCGGCACGGACGCUGG
Molecule: ribosomal RNA, 575 nt
Filed under: Aspergillus sp. E51
Lineage: Eukaryota; Fungi; Ascomycota; Eurotiomycetes; Eurotiales; Aspergillaceae
Description: eukaryotic LSU rRNA
Rfam family: Eukaryotic large subunit ribosomal RNA
Source: RNAcentral